Molecule: RNA transcript, 1572 nt
Organism: Rhodamnia argentea
Lineage: Eukaryota; Viridiplantae; Streptophyta; Magnoliopsida; Myrtales; Myrtaceae
Gene name: rust resistance kinase Lr10-like
Exons: 3
Source: RefSeq, a predicted model, not a curated record
UUAGGGGAUCGAACCGAUAUGCUCAUUUGCUUGAUUAUGGUCUAAACAAGUGUCUUUUAAAUUUUCCUCAAAUAUGACUUGUUACAAAUUCCACCUCAAUUGCGGAAUAGGGACCAACGGUUACCUUGAUGCGAUGCUCUGGCUCUUUGGCAUCGUGUUUCCGUGCAUGGUUGUGAAAUUCAUCUUGGGAGCCCCAUGCGUGCUGACGUUGCUAGUACGCAAAUGGAGGAGAAGACACUUAGCAAUGGAUCAAAACGUUGAGGAAUUCUUGCAGUCCAAUAAUAACUUCUUGCCGAUAAGGUACUCUUAUUCUGAUAUUAGGAAAAUCACGGGCUACCUCAAGGACAAGCUAGGCGAGGGAGGGUACAGUUCCGUGUUCAAAGGAAAGCUUCGGAGUGGCCGUGAGGUGGCUGUCAAGAUUCUGAAGAAGGGGAAAACAAACGGGCAGGAUUUCAUCGGCGAAGUGGCUACCAUCGGAAGAAUUCACCAUGUUAAUGUGGUCGGACUCAUUGGUUAUUGUUUUGAGGGCUGCAAACAAGUUCUUGUCUACGAUUUCAUGCACAAUGGGUCUUUGGACAAGCAUAUUUUCUCACGAGCAGAAGGGACUUCUCUUGAUUGCAAGGAAGUGUACCGGAUUGCUCUCGGAGUAGUUAGAGGGAUUGAAUAUCUUCAUCGAGGAUGCGACGUACAAAUUCUACACUUUGAUAUCAAGCCUCACAACAUUCUUCUCGAUAGGGAUUUCACCCCAAAAGUUUCCGACUUUGGGCUUGCAAGAUUGUAUCCCACGGACCACAAUACCGUGACUCUAACUGUCGCGAGAGGAACCUUGGGAUACAUGGCUCCGGAGCUAGUCUACAAGAACCUUGGGGGCGUCUCUUACAAAGCGGAUGUCUAUAGUUUUGGCAAGUUGUUGAUAGAAAUGGCCAGUGGGAGGAAGAAUUGGGACGCGGUUGUAGAGUGUUCCAGUCAGACUUACUUCCCUUUGUGGGUUCAUGACCAACUUAGCGAAGGAUUGGACAUCCCGUUGGAGCAAGCUAGAGAGGAGGAUAGGAGAACAGUAAAGAAGAUGAUAACAGUUGCUCUUUGGUGCAUACAAUGGAGUCCUAACGACCGCCCUUCGAUGCGCAAAGUCUUGGAAAUGCUGGAAAGAGAAGCAGAUGAUCUACAAUUACCUCCCAAGCCACUCUUUUAUCCAAUAGAAGAGUCGACAAGAGAUGAUGGAACUUGGAUUGGGGAAGGCAAUGAUAUUACAUCCACUCCAUCAACUAGUGCAAUGACUUAUGAAGAUUCUCAUCUCGAGGAUACUAGUACUGGCAUUGCACAAGUGUAGGCACGUUUCGGAACCUAUUGAUCCCGUGACAUAUGCGACAAAUAGGAAAUGGUCGUAUUGAUGAUGCUUUAUGUGUACCUCCCCUUUCAUGGUCAUCAUCAGAUGGCAUAUGUUUAUAGUUAUGUUUAUGGAUCUUAAUUAUGAGUUUAUUCUAUCCAUGGUCCUUCAAUUGUAUUCUACCCAUGGUCCUUCGAGCACGAAAGUAUUUGGAAUGGUGAAGAAGUAUUUGAAAUUUACCCUCA